Non-coding RNA from Burkholderia sp. CCGE1003, 85 nucleotides. NCBI's taxonomy places the organism in Bacteria, Pseudomonadati, Pseudomonadota, Betaproteobacteria, Burkholderiales, Burkholderiaceae. The record is from Rfam.
UCUGCUUUCCGAAGCGGACUUUUUCGUUGACGAAAAAGAUCUCCAAACCUUUGUCGGCGCGACCUUCCAGUCGCGCUUUUUUUUC